AGCAGCCGCGGUAAUUCCAGCUCCAAUAGCGUAUAUUAAAGUUGUUGCAGUUAAAAAGCUCGUAGUUGAAUUUCAGGCCUGGCUGGGCGGUCCGCCUUUUGGGUGAGUACUGCCUGUGGUCGGGUCCUACCUUCUGGCGAAGCGUCAUGGCCUUAACCGGCCGUGGCGGGGAACCAGGACUUUUACUGUGAAAAAAUUAGAGUGUUCAAAGCAGGCAUUCGCUUGAAUACAUUAGCAUGGAAUAAUGGAAUAGGACAGUGGUUCUAUUUGUUGGUUUCUAGGACCGUUGUAAUGAUUAAUAGGGAUAGUUGGGGGCAUUAGUAUUCAAUUGUCAGAGGUGAAAUUCUUGGAUUUAUUGAAGACUAACUACUGCGAAAGCAUUUGCCAAGGAUGUUUUCAUUAAUCAAGAACGAAAGUUAGGGGAUCGAAGACGAUCAGAUACCGUCGUAGUCUUAACCAUAAACUAUGCCGACUAGGAAUCGGGCGAUGUUGACAAAAUGACGCGCUCGGCACCUCAUAC
Molecule: ribosomal RNA, 520 nt
Filed under: uncultured Paraglomus
Lineage: Eukaryota; Fungi; Glomeromycota; Glomeromycetes; Paraglomerales; Paraglomeraceae
Description: SSU rRNA
Rfam family: Eukaryotic small subunit ribosomal RNA
Source: RNAcentral